Molecule: non-coding RNA, 75 nt
Organism: Myotis davidii
Lineage: Eukaryota; Metazoa; Chordata; Mammalia; Chiroptera; Vespertilionidae
Source: Rfam
GGCAGUUCUCAGGUGACACACCCCAGAAUCGGGCUCCCUCCUCUCUGGUUCCAGGUGCAUUGCCUGAGAACCACA